UGAAUACGAGACGCUAAGGCGUCGAAGUAGUGUAUGUCAUACUUCCAAGAAAAGCUUGCACUGUCAUAGAUAAAAAACGCCUGUACCAUAACCGACACAGGUGGGUAGGUAGAGUAUACUAAGGGGCGCGAGAUAACUCUCCCUAAGGAACUCGGCAAAAUAACUCCGUAACUUCGGGAGAAGGAGUGCCUUAUUCGUAAGGUUGCAAUAACAAGAUCCAAGCAACUGUUUAUCAAAAACACAGGUCUCCGCUAUGUCGUAAGACGAUGUAUGGGGGCUGACGCCUGCCCAGUGCCAGAAGGUUAAAGAAGUUGGUUAGCAAUUGCGAAGCUGAUAACUGAAGCCCUGGUGAACGGCGGCCGUAACUAUAACGGUCCUAAGGUAGCGAAAUUCCUUGUCGGGUAAGUUCCGACCCGCACGAAAGGCGUAAUGAUUUGGAUACUGUCUCGGAGAGGGGCUCGGUGAAAUAGACUUGUCUGUGAAGAUGCGGACUACCUGCACCAGGACAGAAAGACCCUAUGAAGCUUUACUGUAACUUGAAAUUGAAAUUGGACUUUAUUCGCGCAGUAUAGGUGGGAGGCGUUGAUUAUAAUCUUGUGGGAUUAUUGGAGCCAUCAGUGAGAUACCACUCUUGUAAUGUUAGAUUUCUAACUUUGAAUCAUUAUCUGGUCAAAGAACAGUUUCAGGCGGGCAGUUUGGCUGGGGCGGUCGCCUCCUAAACGGUAACGGAGGCGUACAAAGGUUUCCUCUGAACGGUUAGAAAUCGUAUCUAGAGUGUAAAGGCAUAAGGAAGCUUGACUGUGAGACCUACAAGUCGAGCAGGGACGAAAGUCGGUCUUAGUGAUCUGACGGUACUGAGUGGAAAGGCCGUCACUCAACGGAUAAAAGUUACUCUAGGAUAACAGGCUGAUCUCCCCCAAGAGUUCACAUCGACGGGGAGGUUUGGCACCUCGAUGUCGGCUCAUCGCAUCCUGGGGCGGUAGUACGUCCCAAGGGUUGGGCUGUUCGCCCAUGAAAGCGGUACGCGAGCUGGGUUCAGAACGUCGUGAGACAGUUCGGUCCAUAUCCGGUGUAGGCGUUAGAAUAUUGAGAGGAGCCUUCUUUAGUACGAGAGGACCGAGAAGGACAUACCUCUGGUGUACCAGUUAUCGUGCCAACGGUAAACGCUGGGUAGCUAUGUAUGGAGUGGAUAACCGCUGAAAGCAUCUAAGUGGGAAGCCCACCUCAAGAUAAGUAUUCUCA
Molecule: ribosomal RNA, 1242 nt
Filed under: metagenome
Description: bacterial LSU rRNA
Rfam family: Bacterial large subunit ribosomal RNA
Source: RNAcentral